GUGUAUAGCUCAGUGGUAGAGCACUUGUCUAGCAGGUGCAAGACCCUGGGUUUGAUUCCCAGCACCACA
This 69-nucleotide transfer RNA is filed under the name Marmota monax (woodchuck). Its description in RNAcentral is "tRNA.Ala". The stretch from base 6 to 62 matches the Rfam family "tRNA", at positions 8 to 63 of the family's 71-position model. Rfam says of the family: Transfer RNA (tRNA) molecules are approximately 80 nucleotides in length. Their secondary structure includes four short double-helical elements and three loops (D, anti-codon, and T loops). The record is from RNAcentral. Lineage: Eukaryota; Metazoa; Chordata; Mammalia; Rodentia; Sciuridae.